RNAcentral lists this long non-coding RNA (1305 nucleotides) under Ricinus communis (castor bean). Its description in RNAcentral is "long non-coding RNA (RCOM_LNC003534)". The record is from RNAcentral. Lineage: Eukaryota; Viridiplantae; Streptophyta; Magnoliopsida; Malpighiales; Euphorbiaceae.
AGUUUGAACAGUACACUUCAACAGUUCCUGAGUGGUUUAGAAAGACAGGCCACCCAGACAGACUUCAUAGUAGUGCAGAUUCAAAAGAUGCAAGAGGCUGGAGCACAAAAUCAACGGCUCAUUGAUGAUAUGGAGUUCGAUUUGGCGACAUGCUUCACAGACCCUGAUCCACCACCGCAACCACCGUCAGCAAACUUCCCUGCCCCCCAACUUCCAGUAGAUCCAACCAGGGAGGAUACACCGUCAGCAGACUCCUAGCGGAAAGAAAAAAUUUGUGAUAUUUUCCUCCAUCCUUUUUCUUUAUUUUAUUUUUUUUAAUUUUAUUUUAUUUUAUUUUAUUUUAUUUUAUUUUUAUUUUUUUAUUUAUUUAUUUAUUUUCUUUCAAUUUGUUAUCUUCUUUUACUUUCUUGCUUGUAGCUUGUUUACUUUUAUGUUAUUUCCUUGCACUUGUUUGUUUAUGUUAAGUAGAACACUAUGCCUUUUUAAUUAAAAAAAAUAAAAAAUAAAAAAAUAAAAAAAUAAAAAAAUCAGCAUGAUCUUCCAUAACCAUAAUGUGUGAAUCAUAUGCUUCCUCAGUCUAAAUCUCUCUAACACUGUGGACAGUGUUAUACUAAAAUGUGGGGUAGGGACCUACCGAUGUUGUGCCUAUCUUGAGUUUUGUUUUAAUUAAGUAGUUGAUGACUUUUUUCUCCUUUGAAUGGAUUCCCUUAUAGCUUUUAUCGAACCUUGUUCGGAAGAAGGCAAUGAAUAAAUCUCUCAACUACAAUCCAGCCAGGUAAAACUGGUAUUUUUUUCUUAAUUCUUCCAUAUUACUUUAUCGUAGAUAUAGAACACUGUUAAUAUUGCUGCUUAUUAUUGUGAUUGACUGUUUAAACUUUAGGUUGAGAAUUCAUGCAAUUUUAAAUCACUCAAAUGGUGAGAUUUUGAGCCAAUUGGUGCAUCACUAUUAUGCUCCCUUUUCUUUCAUUAGUGAGCAUUUUACAGAAUCUCUGUUUCUAGAACUGCUUUACGAUAUCUGUUGAAAUUACAUGAAUUGUCAAUAAUCGUGAGAUGAUUUGGGCACUUAGGAUUUACACAAUUUGGCCAAAAAGCCUAACCCUAUUUUUCCCUUAGUGAACCAAUUUUGAGCCUUAACCAUUCCUUUCGUGACAAUAAUAACGGUGACACUCAUCUUAUCACUUCUAUUCAUUUGACCAUUCUUUCUACCAUUGUUGCUGGGAAUUAUAUAAGUUAUGCUGCAUUUUACUUUGGAUCAAUCUGCAUUCAUAUAUUUCACUAAGUUGCUAGAUUUUUCAUAGAUGCUCC